RNAcentral lists this transfer RNA (73 nucleotides) under Agrobacterium phage OLIVR5. RNAcentral describes it as "tRNA-Gln". It matches the Rfam family "tRNA". From Rfam's summary of the family: Transfer RNA (tRNA) molecules are approximately 80 nucleotides in length. Their secondary structure includes four short double-helical elements and three loops (D, anti-codon, and T loops). RNAcentral also lists the same sequence under 1 other name. Lineage: Duplodnaviria; Heunggongvirae; Uroviricota; Caudoviricetes; Pootjesviridae. The record is from RNAcentral.
UAUCCCGUAGCCAAGCUGGUAAGGCAUGAGUUUUUGGCACUCACAUGCGCUGGUUCGAGCCCAGCCGGGAUAU